CCUUAACCUGCGGGACACUGUGAGGAUGCAGCGGUGGCUACUUAAAGAACCCGGGGAGGCAGAGGUGCUCGUGGGAAAUGCCAGGCACUGUCACAAACCGCUUGGUGUUUGUUAAGGUACAGUUUAUGCACAGCGAAAGUCAUCUCUCAGCGUGCACUUGUGCAAGGUUUGACACGCAUGGGGCCAUGUCCCUGUUGCCUCGAACAAGACACCGAAUCGCUCCGUCCUCCACCCUUCAUCCCACAAGCCGCCUCCCCGGGGGCGGUGCCCUCCGACAGAGGAGGCGUGCAACGCAGGUCUCGGCCCGCACGUGCUCUGGGCCCUGGGCUCCUGGAAGGAAGGCUGUUUGGACGGCCUCUGGGCCGUGGUCAUGUGCCUGUGAAAUGCCACUUUUCUAAAGUUGGAAGGAAAAGCGACUGGAAGCUCGCCUCAGCUGUUCACCCAAAGCUUGAUCCGUAUGCUUGCUUUCUCCCCCAAGGAAAGAAGAAAUCGAAAAAUGAUCAGCACGAGAAACAAUCAGUUCUGGACAGGAUCCUGCAAAAUACUGAAAAAUCUCCAGGAAACUCCGUCCAGUAAAUGGAGGAGAGCGAGGCCCAGAGGAGGCGUGGAGAGCAGCCCGUGAGGCCGCUGGCUCCGAGGAGCCGCCACACAGGACGCACGGACUGCGUGACAACAGCCCCGUCCUCAGUAAUAAAGAGCCUAUGUGC
Molecule: long non-coding RNA, 707 nt
Filed under: Sus scrofa (pig)
Lineage: Eukaryota; Metazoa; Chordata; Mammalia; Artiodactyla; Suidae
Description: lncRNA (ENSSSCG00040026137.1, ENSSSCG00060044962.1)
Source: RNAcentral